GACCUACAGCUGAAUGUUAUCACUUCCAGGUGAAGGGGUCCCAGGGCCUUGCUGGCCUGGAAGUAGAGUUAUACAGACAUCGCCUGCUGAUGCUCCCUUAUCCUCCAGAUCUCUGGGUCUCCUUCUAAAACAUUAGGACUAGAAGAAACUACGAGAGCAUCCAAGCAUUUCCUCCAACGUUCUGUUUUACAGGCACUGUCUGUGACACUUGGGAUAUGUCAGCGAUCGAAAGAGACCACGAUGCCUGCCCGUGGGGACUUCGUGUUCCAGUGGAAGAAGACAGACAAUUACACAAAGAUCAGAAGAGGAUGUGAGGUCAAGCCCAGUGCUCCAGAGGCCCGUGUGGUCUUUGUUCCCCAAGGAGGCAGGACAGGACAGAGGUUAUAAGGGCUUAAGUUCCAAUAUCAAACUAGAUUCAAAGACCAGCGUCAGCGCUUACCAGCUACAUGACUGUGGGCGUCAUAUUCCGUCUCUCUGAGCCUCAGUUCCCUCUACUUCAGAACGAAGAUAAUAGUGCACCUACCUCGAAGGGCUUUUUUAAGGAUUAAAUGAAAUAAUGUACACAAAUUCCUUUGCCCGCAGGAAGAACCCAAUAAAACUCAGCUGUAAUG
This 611-nucleotide long non-coding RNA is filed under the name Equus asinus (donkey). RNAcentral's name for it is "lncRNA (ENSEASG00005038254.1)". The record is from RNAcentral. Lineage: Eukaryota; Metazoa; Chordata; Mammalia; Perissodactyla; Equidae.